This 204-nucleotide long non-coding RNA is filed under the name Lathyrus oleraceus (garden pea). Its description in RNAcentral is "Pisum sativum (pea) long non-coding RNA (PSAT_LNC025575)". Lineage: Eukaryota; Viridiplantae; Streptophyta; Magnoliopsida; Fabales; Fabaceae. The record is from RNAcentral.
UUGAUGAUUGUUGGUAUUGUUGUUGUUAUAGGUGUUUGUUCGUUUCUAUGGUUGUUGUUGUUGACGUUGUUGUUGUUGAACUGGUGUUGACUGGUUUGCUGAAAACACAGGAAUUACUGAAGAUACUUGAUGAUGAUGUUGACUGAUGGUUGACUUCUUCUGAUCUGAGGCCUUCUCUGCCUCCCACUGGAAAUUGCAUUGGUU